Molecule: unclassified non-coding RNA, 21 nt
Filed under: Mus musculus (house mouse)
Lineage: Eukaryota; Metazoa; Chordata; Mammalia; Rodentia; Muridae
Description: oocyte_clustered_small_RNA9127
Source: RNAcentral
GGGAGCUGGCUUGCCCUGAGC